Molecule: long non-coding RNA, 618 nt
Filed under: Nicotiana benthamiana
Lineage: Eukaryota; Viridiplantae; Streptophyta; Magnoliopsida; Solanales; Solanaceae
Description: long non-coding RNA (NBEN_LNC026169)
Source: RNAcentral
CAGAACUUAAUAGCUAAGAGUAAGUGCAAAGUGAAAGGAGGAUUUGGGAGCCAUGACAAGUGGUGGUCAUGCCUAGCCACAAGGUAGGCUAGCACAUCCCUGACUACUUGUUUGGUUAAACAAGUUAGGAGCGGACCUUUGAAGGUCGGACCAAGGUCUGGACCGUGAUUAGGACACUACCAGACCCAAGUCCAAGGCUCAAACACAUAAAGGGGAAAGGGAACGGGGAACUGAUUGAGCGUUGGAUUCAAAGAACCCAGUUUAGAAACAUAGACAACAAUAUUAGAGUGUUGUCAUGCUUUGAACCAUAACUCACACAUAAAGGGGUAAAGGGUAAGGGAAUUCACAUAAGAAUGGUACUGAUAACAUUGCAGAAAAAGCAGUUGGGAAAAGCAUACCAGAACUGGAAUGUAAAACACAUAGUGGAUGAGCAAUAUUAAAAUAAGAUGGACAUACCAGUUGUAAAGUAACAGAAAUAGAAUAAUAGAGUAACAAUAGCAAGCAAACAUCAGAACCAACUAAGAAUGUCAGCAUAACACUCGAGGAUAUAAGAAGAACUUAAAGGUAUUUCAGAAAAAAGAAGUAGAAAACAGAAAUGGGUUGUAUGUUGAGAGAAGA